CUCUCUCCCUCCCUCCCUCUAUCUAUCUUUUUAUCACCGCGUCUGCCUGCGUGUGUAUGUGUGUGUGUGUAUAUAUGAGGCGUCACUCUGGGAGACGCCUUUGCGUGUCCUUGGACGAAUAUUCCUCUACGAGUCCUUCGAGUCGGCAAAGACAGAUCCUCGUCGAGUGGACGCGAAACGAAGAGAAGAAUAGGAGAAGAAAGGGGUGAAGGAAUAAAAAGCCAGCCCAUUCAAAAUUUCUCCAGGGCAGAGAUUUCCUUCGGGGCCAGCGAGGACGUUUUACCUCGCGAAGACCAGCAGAUUGGAUGAUGUGGGCGCUUCUCAUUUUGGCUGGAUUUCUGAGCGGUUGGUGGGGCGCACUAGCAUUGGCCACGACGGCACCCACAGCCACCACUGCUGUUGUUGCUGUUCCAACUCCUGCUCCUGCGUCCUCCGCAAGCGUCGCGACGUUCAAAGCCAUCUUCGGCACGAUGGGCAUCUCAAGAGGAUCCCAGACGAAGACGCCUCAGGAGGAUGGGGCCAUGUCGAACCGCUUGGCCAAUGCCCUUAUCCCCGUGGGCCUGACGCUCGGCAGGGGAAGUUCCUGGUCGCGGCACCCGACCCGGUCACGCAUCCUUUCUCUUCUGGGGAAUCUUGAGCCUUACGCGUAUCACCGGCCUAUCGAGGCAAUCGAGGCAAUCGAGACAAUCGAGACAAUGUGGACCUCCCUCCCUCGGGAGAGCUCCCUCGCGGUCCUCCCGGAAAAACGCGAGCAACCGGACGUUCGUGGGCCUGAGGCAAGGCAUCAUCGCCGCCCCCCCAAACCCAUCAGCGCCGACGACUUUCACAGUUAUCAGCCAACGCCAACAAAUUCAGGAUUCGCUACGUACCGUCGGAGCUUCGCAUCGCAAUUUCAAGAGCAUGCAGGCAUUUCUCCAAUGACGCAUACGAUGCCAAAUUCUCCGGCAACUUCGAAGUACAGUAGUGUCUUGGAGUCGUGGUUCACGAGGAACCAGCGACCACAGGACAGAUUGAGUCGAAUGCUCCAGACGGAAUCGUCAAUCGAGCGGCCGAGGAUGAUGAGAUCGGUAAGCCAGAGACAGAGACCGAGGCAGAGGCAAAGACAGAGGCAGCAGCAGCACCAUCAUCACCAACAGCCACAACCACAAGCACAGCAGCAGCAGCAGCAGCAGCAGCAAUCGAAUCGAGGGAAGAAUCGCACGAGGGCCGAGUCGGCUUCGAGGAAGGGACCACAAUGUCGUAACAAACCAUGUCGCAGACAGAACUGGUGUCCUGACGUGGACGUGGGUAACAGAGCCUUUCUCGCACCGACUGUUUUCGAGGGCAAGGUCAGAAGCAUGUCCUCCGCGAGGAAACCAGACUUGAACUAUUCAGUGACCUUCGAGGUGAAGCAGGUGUACAAGAGUCAGUCGGGGUUUCAACCCCUGCAGAAGAACGACAACGUGAGGCUGCACUUUCGCAACAAAACGCCGGGCAAGUCGACAUUGUGCAGCCCCGAGGUAGUUCAUAGCAAUCAGAGUGGGAUGGUGAGGGCCAAUAUUGAAAAGGGUAAAGUGUACCUAGUGUUUGUGAACCGUGUGGGACCUAGAAACUUUACCAUUCUCGGCGAACCAGUAAGUCGCAGUAAAAAGAACGAGCAAGCGGUUCAGGCAGUUGUUCGACCAGACUAUGUGGAGGAAGUUACGUUAUCUAAUCUUAACGACUCGAAUGUGAAAAUAACAGACACAGUAAGACUAGUGUGCAGGACGAGUGGAUCGCCACCCCCGAGGGUCCACUGGCUCAAGGACGGCCUGCCCCUGCAUCCCCGAAGAGGUCUCAGGAUUCAACACAAACGCCGCAGGUCGAAAGUGGUGAUAAAAUCAGCGAGGUUGGACGACAGCGGCAGAUACGAGUGCGUGGCUGAAAGCACCUCGGGACAUCGAGCCUCCCUUGCGGCCGAACUUCGGGUCCUUUAUGAUACCAGCAGAUCUCCAGAAACCACAACGGCGGCAUGGCCGAGGCAGGAGCAGCCCUGUCCGAUAGCCGGUGACUUCUGCAUGAACGGUGGUACCUGCCUAUUUUUCGAGACGGUCGGUGAACCAGCUUGUAGAUGCGCCGAGGGCUACACGGGUCAGCGCUGCGAAAGAAAGGAUGUCAUCAGCAACGGAAAUAUGGAUAAAUUCUCCUCGUUCGCCGAGGACGUGACGCUCGCCCGAUUCUAGCGCAUCUAGCGGCACUGUCAAGCUUGCACAUCGGGACAUUCAUCGUGUUUUGUCUUAUUGUAGCCUUAUCCUCGUUCGGCCCGUUCCUCCUGUUCGGUACAUGUCCCUCACUCUCUAACAAUGGGAUUGACUUUUCAUCUCUUCACUAUCAUCAUCCUCCUGACCCUCUCGUUCUCCCUUUUUACUGUCAUACCGUUUAUAAUUUUUCCGCAGUUUCCUUCGUGCUGGAAUGACACAGAGAAAGAGAAAGAACAAGAGUUUCCAGUACCUUGGUACGUCCCAGCCUCCUCUUUGCACCUUUACUUUUUUUUUUUUUCACAUCAUAGAGUCUACUUUCCACUUCACGUUUUCCAAAUUCGCCGUUUUCAUUCAACUUGAUGAGAGGUGUCGGUGCUAUUGCUGCUUUGACGAGGAUGUUGCAGUCCACAAGGGCGAAUUUCAUCAGCCGACGCGACAGCCGUCACAAGCAGUAAGAAGCUCAAGCAUUCUCCAGCAAUUUAUAUUAAGUGUGAGCGUCGAUCCAUCGAAGAAGCAUCGUGCCUUUCGGAAUCCUAAUGCGAAUGCAUUGGUUCGCUUCCUCGUCAUCGUCAUCGUCAUCGUCAUCGUCCUCAUCCUCGUCCUCAUCCUUGUCCCCUCGCGACGCACUUCACUGUGACUCUUUCCGUAAAACGGGGCCAGAGACGUAAGAGAGCCACUGGACAAUGGGUGCUUCCUCCAAGAAGCGCGGUGAGCAGCGCUGUACUUUGCAUGUCCUCAGCUUAGUAUCCUUUUCCUUAUUCCUUAGAGCGAGCGCGUCCGCUCUCGGAACGCAGGAACGUAGGGAGCACUUGCGAGAGGACGAGAAAGAGGAAAAGGAAGACGCAAGAGAAGUGAGGAAAAUCGAAGCAGUGACUGGUUGCGACUGAACCGCGAGGCCGGAAGAGAAGCUCUGCCCAUUGAGGAGGAUAUACUCUGUUAUAAGUAGUUUAUCUCGGUGAGCGAGAGAAGAGAGUGUGACUGCAGGAAAAAGGAAUGCUUUCGAGUUCUAUGCCAAAGAGUACGAGAGAUGUCCGUGCAAGCUUACUAGUGCCGCCAUACUUGCGUUCAUUAUGUUACGUUGAACGGAUCGUACUACCAAUACUUAUCGAUCCAUCCGACGAAAUAUUCGAUACACAAAAGUUCACUUACGAUUAGCUCAAUUAGGGCUCGUUUAAGCUGCUUCUUCUCCUACUGUGAGAGAAGGGACGACGAGCCUUCUUACAUGUGUACUUAGAAUAUUUAGGGAAUAACGAAUGUCCGGAAAAAGAAUGACUCUUCGAGGACGACUUUUUAGUUAUAAUUGAGGAUCUUGUGGAGCGAGGUUCCCGACAUCUUAUUAGACCUGUACGAAAUAUGCUGACGAGUUUUAGCCGCAGACGGAACAUGAAAACUGACUAAUACUCUACUACAAAUCAAUCUGAAAUAAUCGUUUUCUUCAGGAAUGACAAGGUUAUUUCGAUUUUGUAUUAUUUUCAUAAGAAAUUGCUAGCUGACACGGCUCAACACCAUUCGCGUAUUCGCAUAUACGAGCGCAGAACGUUGACUGUGCUAACGCCAAACAUUCUCCACGCUCCAGAAUAGCCUUAAGUAAAAUGUGUAUGAAGACAGUAGCCGACUGGGCAUUUAGUUCUAUAAGCAUUACGCACCGCGAGAUAAUGUCGCAGCGAUUGCGUGUGCAAAUGAGUCAAACUCAAAAUCACUCGGUCGAUGAAACAAGAAACACAGAAGAGAAAACGCUUAUUCCUUUUCUCCUCUGAUUUUUCAAUGAAAAGAUCGAACGACACGCAACGUCCAAUUAAAUUUUAAGCACGCUAUGUACAAUAUUGUAUAUUAUUUAAUAUUAUUUAUUUGAUGAUGUUUUUACUAGAAACGCGUUUGUACUGUAUCCAAUCUUAAGAAUAAGGUAAUAUAAAGUGAGGCGUCGCAGGUGCUUUAUAAUUGUCUAAGGAGAAACCAGUCGCGAGAUCACAGAAAAUGGAUCCUGAUGUGCACCAGUAUCGAAUGGUCUUCCCUUAUGCAGUAAUCAACUAAUCUGAAUCCGAAUAUAGCUCCACGUUGAAAUAUCCGAUAAAAAGAGGAAAAAUUACAGAACCAAAAACCACAUAGUAUCCUAUAAACUGUAUGCACUUCUCUUUCUACGCUGUUUUUGGUUUCAAAUUUAUAUGUACAUCUCUCUCUUUUUAUUCAAUAUUUCGAAGAGAGCUAACUUUCCAGUGCUUCGCAAUCGAUAGAAGAAGAUCCGACAGUUAGGACCUUUGCAAGUAACUUCUCUCUUAGAGACUAGCCAUGACAUAAUGUAGCUGCGAAGGAAGACGUUGCUGUCCGUUCCAUUCGGUUCUACUGUGGUAGCCAGAAAGUGCACUAUUAAUAGAGAUUAAGAAUUAUUCUAGAAGCACAAAGUAUUAACAAUAUAAUGCAACUAUUGUAAAAGGGCAUGAUGAUUGUAAAGACAUAAAGGUAAUAGUCCAGAA
Molecule: RNA transcript, 4690 nt
Organism: Cephus cinctus (wheat stem sawfly)
Lineage: Eukaryota; Metazoa; Arthropoda; Insecta; Hymenoptera; Cephidae
Gene: vn
Gene name: protein vein
Exons: 8
Source: RefSeq, a predicted model, not a curated record